UGAGUUUUACUCAAGUUAGCGUGUUUCAAAGUUAAUUGUAAAAUUAUUUUGAAGAAUGAUAUGAGAAAUGUCAUUUCUAAUUCAUUUUCUAAACUGGUCAAUAUUAUUUUAUCUGCGGAAUUAUUUUCUUCUUCAAAAGGCUUUUAACUUUACCCUAAAAAGGUUCCCCCUGAUAUUUCUAAAAGAAUGAAAAAGUCAUGUUUUGUAUGAAUCAGAGUAUUCACAUUGCUAUGUCUACUAUUGUAGCAUAGUGUACGAGAAGAUACGACACUGUGAGAAUUGUAUUGUGAACCUAGAGGGGUACCUUGUCUGAGUGAUUUGGUUGAGGGGACAUUGUGUAUGGAGAUUGAUUUUUCAGGAAUAGGAUAGUUCCCUUGAGUCGAUAGAACUCUUUGCAGUAACUACAGUGACCUCUGACACCCCCUUGAAGGUAGCAUGCUCAGAAUGAUGCGAUAGUUAUCUUUGCCGACCGUUAGGUAUUCCAGCGCUAUUGAGUGCAUGAUAGUUAUAUGCUUUUUGGUUAUCAAUGGUGGGCACAAUGUUGUAUUCAUCUUGUUCGCUUCCUAAGAACAAUAUAGGACUGGUCGGGCUCGACCAAUGUCGAUAACAUUGUUGUUGAUUUGUUAGUUGGGGCCCAAUUAUGAGACAUUUCUCCAUGCACUCAUCUAGAGAUUCAUUAGUCUCGUCAAAAUAGAUAUUAUGUUCAUCAUAACAUCAUUAUCAUGCAUAUGAUUAGAAUGAUAUCUUCGUUAUUACAUGAAUUUAUUUAUAUGAUUUGUUUUUAUUGUAUGUUAUUUGUUUAUCAUAAUAUAGAGAUACGUACUCUCCAGUUUAAUAUUACAGGUAGUGAUGGGUUCCAAUGCUCCUUUCUGACUCCAUUGUGUGUGAUAGAGAUCAUACCACUCCCUUUAGGAGAGGUUGAGGUGGAAUGGUAUUGAGCGGUGUAUCGGGGAGAUCUAGAGAUUUGAAGUACUUAUUCAGACCUGUAUUGAGCACCACUCCCCCAUCGCUCUACUGUGCCAGCGGUAUAUCUCAUGCAUAUUCCAGAUGGCUAUGAGUUACGACCGGUACCUCCUCCUACUCCUGCAAAGUAUAUUUCUCCACCUACAACUCCUCUUGGUUUUUCUUUUGGUUCCUCCCGUUAUGAUAGUUGUAGGCUGACCCAUCACAUGACAUACCGAGUUCUUCGGUGAGACGUCCUACGCAGAGACCACCUAUAGUCCAGGCUAGUCGUCCUCAGACGACUCGGGGAACCAAGACAUGUCUGUGCUAUUGGUGUACUUCUCCAGCGGAGAGCUACACUCGUUCAUCCAUUCAUGUUGUGAGAGGGAUUCCGGAGUACACUCUAGGGUCUCCUUUUCAUAGGGCAUAUGGACAAGGUUAGGGUAACGAGGCUGAUACUUGUGGCCCAGGAACAUGACCCGAUUAUCUUCUUCCCUGGUGGAUUCUCAUGCACUUGUCGAGCCUACUGUCAGAUAUGGCAUCAUAUCUAUUUCCAGUGACGAGGAUGUUCCAGAGGAGUACCCUGAGGAGGGUAGUGAGGGAGGGAACUAGUAUGGGGAAGUUGGGUCAAGACUUUGGUAGUUUGGUUAUGUAUGACAUAUUCGUAUUAUUAUUUUUGGAAGUUGUAGUUCCAGUGUACAGUACAUCUAGUCUCAUGGUCUUCUUUUUGGUAUAUAUAUCUACCCUAACUUUGUUGGAGUGUACGUGAGGAUGGUGUGAUCAGAGACUAUGUAUUCUAUAUGGGAGUGUGAUAUUUUGAAACCUAUUUAUAUGUAUGUAUAUAGAUAGGGUAUUAAGAGAGUACUCUAAUGCCUAUGGUUAUGGUGAUGCUAUAUGGAAAAAAAAUUCUAUACUUCUUUUACUGUUAAUUAUAUAGUAUGAUACAUAAGUAAGUCUUGAGAUAAACAUUAUGUUUCUUUAUAAGAAGAAAAAAAAUAUAUGAUAUUUUUCUAACAUAAGUUGUAAUUAACCAAGAACGUAUAUGACUGUCUUGUAUGUACUUUUGUUUUAACGCUAGGAAAUGAGUAUUACACGUUCCAAAAACAUAUAAUUACAAAUGAAUAGUUUUUUUAUCCAAAAUAUGCAAAAACGGGAUUUGAGCGAUGGAAGAUUGAAGUUGAGUGAUUGAUGUUGGAUUUGAG
RNAcentral lists this long non-coding RNA (2144 nucleotides) under Lupinus angustifolius (narrow-leaved blue lupine). RNAcentral's name for it is "long non-coding RNA (LANG_LNC000545)". Lineage: Eukaryota; Viridiplantae; Streptophyta; Magnoliopsida; Fabales; Fabaceae. The record is from RNAcentral.